Hibiscus syriacus is the source of this 135-nucleotide small nucleolar RNA. RefSeq annotates it as small nucleolar RNA snoR74. The transcript has a single exon. The record is from RefSeq and is a predicted model, not a curated record. Lineage: Eukaryota; Viridiplantae; Streptophyta; Magnoliopsida; Malvales; Malvaceae.
UCAAAAGAAUAGUCUUGUUACCCUUUCGAAUGAGACUCUUGAACUUUAGGGAAAUUACCUGCAUCAUUAUUAGGUGAACCUUUGGACUCUCUUGAUAAAUGAAUGGCUGAAAGUUCAAUAAAUGAGGCCACAUCU